AAGAAAAGUGAGGUCGGUUAAAGAAGCUUUCAAGGUACUUUCUCACAAAGACCGUUUGGACGACGAAAAUCUGGUGACACUUCUCACUGAAGUUGAGAUGAUCGUUAAUUCCCAUCCACUAACGUUUGUGCCCUUGGAAUCCCCUGAACACCAAGUCAUCACACCAAAUAGUUUUCUAUUAAUGAGCUCGGAUGGAUCAAACACGUCGUCGAGAGUUCCGGUGAAUGAAGAAUUGUCACUCCGAACAAACUGGAAGUUGAUGCAGCAUCUCUUAAAUCAGUUCUGGAAACGUUGGAUCCAAGCUUAUCUACCUACGAUCGCUAGAAGAACGAAGUGGUUCGAUGAAGUUCGUCCGUUACAAGUCGAUGACCUAGUCGUAAUUGUGGAUGAACAAGUAAGGAAUGGAUGGCUGAGAGGAAAGGUGAUCAAGAUCUAUCCGGGCCCUGACGGCCAGGUGCGCAAGGUCGAUGUUCAGACCAACUCAGGAGUGAUGCAGCGGCCUGCUGUCAAGGUGGCGCUUCUGGAUAUAAUGGAAAGUGGUAAAGCCGAUUAAAGGAGAGGCAUUACGGGCGGGGCUGUUACGUUAAACGAGAAAUAGGCCCUUUGUACAACUGCAGUACGUCAGCAUCAGAAGCGACGAGUUUGUUUUGGUAAACAAGGAAGAGAAAAGAUUGGUUUACCUCGUGCGACAGAUUUGUAGUAGAUCCCCAAUUUCCUAAAAAAUAGUUAAAUACGUUAAGCAUAAAUCAUUAACAGAGUACACAGUGUUAGAUUAUAGGCAUUAGCUUUGAGAUGUUGCACUCUAGCAGUGGUACUUGCAAUAAUGAUUAAUGUAUUUCAAAACUGUAUGCCGAACAAUGACAAUGUCCAAUCUUCUGUAAACUACUACAAUUGAGAGACAGUGCACAUAACCUCAUUCGGCGUCGCUUCCCUAGAGCAUAAACAGAUUAUCCCUCGAAGAAGAAAACUAACUGUAAGUUUCAUCAUUUCCAUUUAAUGUAUUGCUAAAUAAAAUAUCAUUUUAGUUUGAGUCACGCAAAAACGGACUUCAAAAAGGU
Molecule: long non-coding RNA, 1058 nt
Organism: Aedes albopictus (Asian tiger mosquito)
Lineage: Eukaryota; Metazoa; Arthropoda; Insecta; Diptera; Culicidae
Exons: 3
Source: RefSeq, a predicted model, not a curated record